Molecule: small RNA, 553 nt
Filed under: Pongo abelii (Sumatran orangutan)
Lineage: Eukaryota; Metazoa; Chordata; Mammalia; Primates; Hominidae
Description: retained intron
Source: RNAcentral
AUAUAUUUUGCUCCAUCACAAUUGUGUUUUACUUUAUUUCUUGUUCUUUUCUUGUUUUUAAUCUUUUAAGUCCCUCGACUUUAAUACCCUCGUGGAUAACAUAUCUGUGGAUCCUGAGACAGGAGACCUUUGGGUCGGAUGCCAUCCCAAUGGCAUGAAAAUCUUCUUCUAUGACUCAGAGAAUCCUCCUGCAUCAGAGGUGCUUCGAAUCCAGAACAUUCUAACAGAAGAACCUAAAGUGACACAGGUUUAUGCAGAAAAUGGCACAGUGUUGCAAGGCAGUACAGUUGCCUCUGUGUACAAAGGGAAACUGCUGAUUGGCACAGUGUUUCACAAAGCUCUUUACUGUGAGCUCUAACAGACUGAUUUGCACCCAUGCCAUAGAAACUGAGGCCAUUAUUUCAACCGCUUGCCAUAUUCCAAGGACCCAGUGUUCUUAGCUGAACAAUGAAUGCUUACCCUAAAUGUGGACAUCAUGAAGCAUCAAAGCACUGUUUAACUGGGAGCGAUAUGAUGUGUAGGGCUUUUUUUUGAGAAUACACUAUCAAAUCAG